Molecule: unclassified non-coding RNA, 298 nt
Filed under: Rhodotorula sp.
Lineage: Eukaryota; Fungi; Basidiomycota; Microbotryomycetes; Sporidiobolales; Sporidiobolaceae
Description: partial contains 5.8S ribosomal RNA, internal transcribed spacer 2, and large subunit ribosomal RNA
Source: RNAcentral
CGCACCUUGUGCUCCCUGGUAUUCCGGGGAGCAUGCCUGUUUGAGUGUCAUGAACUCUUCAACCCACCAGUUUCUAGUGAACUGUUGUGGUGUUUGGAUUUUGAGCGUUGCUAGUCUGACUAGCUCGUUCGUAAUAUAUUAGCAUCUCUAAUUCGAAUUCGGAUUGACUCAGUGUAAUAGACUAUUCGCUGAGGACACUUUUAUUAGUGGCCGGACUAGAAACCAGUAGAAGCUUCCAACUAUUGUAGUCAUUUCUAUUUUAGACCUCAAAUCAGGUAGGAUUACCCGCUGAACUUAA